Molecule: long non-coding RNA, 8580 nt
Organism: Taeniopygia guttata (zebra finch)
Lineage: Eukaryota; Metazoa; Chordata; Aves; Passeriformes; Estrildidae
Source: Ensembl
UUUUUUUUUUUUUUUUUUUUCCCCACAGAAAGGAAAUAAUUCCCAUUUUCAAAUUACACCUAACAUUGUCACACUUUCUCUGUGAACUUUCCAGUCUCUGUGAGAUUUCUGAUUCAAUGGAGUAAUCAGAAUCAUUGCAACGUUUAUCUUUUCUUUCUAUUCUUGGCUUCACCACAGCUCUUAUUUCCACCAAUUACUCUUUUGGCUGGGGCUGAGCUGUGAUCCCAGCUAAAUGAUUAGUGUCACCUCCAUGAGAGCAAAGAAUUGCCUUGCAGUCUGAAUGUGGAGCUCGAAGGCUAGAAGCACUGAACAAUUUGUGUUAUUACCGACGGUAGGAGCUGCCUGCCAGACCCCCCAGGUGUCUCCCUGAGAGGCCACCUACCUCCCCAGGGCACAGAAAGGGGACAGGACAGCCAGGUUUGCAGCCACUAGCUCCUCUCCUCCCCCAGCAGUGUGACCCAGACUCUGGGUGUGAUGGAGAGUGCCUCUCCUCCUCCUCCUCCGCCAGGGCUGAUGGAGACAGCAGGCUCUUGGCAGGACCUCUGGAGGCAUGGAAAAAGGAGCUCAUGCUGGAGCAGGUCUGUUGGCAGAGGUGUGACCCCAUAAGGGACUGUGCUGAAGCAGCCUGUUCCCAAAAGACUGCACCCUCUGGAAUUGGAUCAAUGCUGGAGCAGUUAAUGAGGUGCAGUCAUGGGAAAGACUCACACUGGAAAAGUUGGUGGAGGACUUUCUCCUGCUCCUCUCUGGAGCAGAGGAGGAGUGUGAAGAAUCCUCCCCAGGUGGAGAAAGGAGCUACAGAAGGAGCCUGUGAUGAAAUGAGCACAGCUCUCAUUCCCCAUCUCCCUGCACUGCUGGGGGCAGUGACAAGGUAGAGAAAUUGGCAGUAAAGUUACACCUGGGAAAAAGAGAUGUAGGGAGAGGUGUUUGUAAGACGUGGUUUUACUUAUUAUCAUUUAACUGUGAUGUGGUUGUAAUAAAGUAAACUGAUUUCCACAAGUUUAGUCUGCUUUGCCCACGACAGUGAGUGCUGAGUGACCUCUCCCUGUUCUUAUCUUGUCCCAUAAACCUUUCAUUAUAUUUUCCCUCUCAUGUCCAUGUGAGGAUGAAGAGUGACAGAGUGAAUUUUGUGGGUACCUGGAAUCUAGCCAGGAUCAACCCAUCACACUAAAGGAGCAUAAUCACAUGGCUAUUUGGAACCUUUAUAGUUUUUUGUAGCUUUGCAAACACUUUGAAUGUCCAAAUAUAUUGUUUCAGACACAUUAAUUUGCACAUUAUUCUGCUGACAUGCUCGAAGGACUGUUACAGGUUUUCACUGUCUUUUGUUGUAGAAGGAAUCAGUUAUUCUAGUUAGCAUAUGUUCCUAAAAUAGUUGAAUAAAUAGUUUAUAAUUCCAUUUUUAGCUCACGGAAUGACCAUGAUUUUAUAUGGAACCGUGAUUUUAUAUGGAACCAUAUCAAAGUUGUUAUUUGUAGUGGGUAGGAAUGGCCUGUUACUGGGAAUGAAUGCCAGGAAAGUGCAUCAGGGGAAGGAUGACAAUCCUUGUAGUUCAGUGAAUUCCAUGUGGACAGGAAAAUUUUAUUUAUGGAACAGUCUUAGUAGCUCAGGGGAACAUUUUAGCAUAUCAAUCCUGCUAGACAGGCUGGAGAAGACAAUGUUGCCAGGGUCAUUCUUGAGUGUGUACAUUUUCCAAGGAAGGUUUCACUCUUAGCUAAUGCAGUCCUUCUUUAUAAUUCUGUAGUUAAAGAUACAAUCUAAGAGUUAAAUUAGUUAUGAAAAUUAAUAUUGAUUGUUGUUCUUAAUGCAAUAGAAGCAGAGGAUUACAUAGAAAAAGGAAAUGGUUCUGACCUUCAAAUACUGGAAAUACAGAGUUUAAAUGAAAACUGCCAUAGUUUUUGUUAAAAAGGCUUAUAGAUAGGCAGAUGCGAAACAUUUGAAGCACUUUAUGUACAUUGAAAGCGAAGUCAAAGAUUUUUUUCAUAAACUUUCUGCUUUGGCUAUGUCUAGUUUAAGCUUAGUCUUGGUAAGGUUGCACACUUCAGUGGACAAAAGGUUUGUUUGCAUUAUGUGAAUGCCCUUUGCUGCUUUUUCAUGGCUUAGGUUCUCAGAAGAAACAAAAUGUCCUUAUUGUACCUUUUCCUAAUACACAGUGGCAAAGCACUGUAUUUGUAACAGUGUGUUCUAAAACCACACACAUUUGGUAUUUAACUUAAUGAAGUGUCUUUGUGACUGAAGGUCUUGAUAGGAUUUGUGUCCCUAUUCUGUUAUUCCAGUGACUUUCUCCUAAUCAAAAGUUUCAUUGCUUAUUUAUUAUUGCUUGUUAGAUUUGCAGAAGCUGCACUUCAUAGGCUGCCACUGGUGCCACUGCAGUGAUGUGGCAGGUAGGAUUGGAGGUCAAGCCUCUACUCUUACAAAGACCUGUAAUCUGACAGGUGAAGAACUUUUCCUGUUCAGGUGCUUUUGAUGUUAUGUCAAGAUAAAAUUAGCUUGGGUUGUCUCUCACAGCCAGCCAGCUUUAAACUGAUCAUGCUCCAUCAACCUCCUAAAUUCCAAGAAAACUGCUUUCUCCAUUAGGUUGUUGUGGGUUCUCUAGCUAUGGACACCAAGAUUAUCUUUUAUGGCCAAUUCCCCUCCCCAGCCAGGUGUUGCUCUCAUAUCAGAAAUUCAACCUGAAACCUGCUGGGUGUCACAAAGUACAGCCUUCAGCCUGCCACUUGUGCAUCAGGUGCUUUUUGCUGUAUACCAUAUAAUGGCCUGAUUUAGUAUCCCUUAUGUCUCACAAGUCACUUUUUUUUCAACCGUGCUAUUUCCAAUUUGGUUGGCAUUUUUCUGGUGAACUGAAUCUGGUGAGUCUCAAGCUGCAUCAAGGGAAAUAUAGGUUGGAUAUUAGGAAAAAUGUUUUUUACAGAAAGAGUGAUAAAGUUCUGGAGUGGUCUGCCCUGGGAGGUGAUGGCGACACCAUCCCUGGAUGUGCUUAAAAAAAGACUGGAUGUGGCACUUGGUGCCAUGGUUUAGUUGAGGUGUGAGGGCACGGGUGGGACUCGAUGAUCUUUAAGGUCUCUUCUAACCCAGUUAUUCUGUGAGUUCUGUGAAUUCUGUGAAUCUCCUUUACAGCUCUCACAGAGGAUUCUAAAUUGAUAUUAAUAGAAUGUGUACCUAUAAAGCCUAUUUAUAUUACCACAAAAGUAUGGAGUGCCUGUAAGGCAAACAGAAGUCUAGGCUAAUAUUUCCAUGUGUUCAUUUCAGUCCCAGGUUAAAGUUGUAUCUGGGAGGAAGAGAGGGAAAGGUGUCACUUUCUGUUUUAGCAAGUUUUUAGUGACUGCAUAGAAAUGAAAACUCCAUAAAGCUGCUCAAGUUAAGGGAGUGAUUGGUAAAUACAUCUUCUAGAAGCUAGAGGGCACAGGAGCCACAGAAAGCUUCUGGUAUAACUCAGUUACCAGGAGGUAUGAGUGAGCCAGAGUAAAUUUUGCUUCUUUUCACAUAAAAUGGCACUUGUUACUCAAGUUCAAACAGAUUUUUUUUUUCUCUUUCUGAAGAGAAGUGGCUGAAAAUCAGAAUUGUCUUUCCGGAUUUUUAUCAGUUUUGCUGAUGGUCUAAAUGAAAAUAAAUUAUUCAUAUUGCUAUUGAUAUAAAUGAAGAUUCCAAUAUAGGCUUCCCAUUUUUAAUCCAGAUUAGUUCAGUAAUAAUAAAAUUUUCUGCAGGAGCUCCUGUCAUUAACCAUUUAUAGAGAACUACUGAAAACUGUUUUAACAGAAAAGGUCAAAGGUACGAUCCUGGGCAGAGAAGUGUUACUGUCGAGCCUAAUAACCACAGAUUUCAGAUUUUCACUUGUCUAGGGGAAGUAUUUGAGAACUUUUCCUCACCCUUACAGAGUAUUUCUGUGAUAGUCCUGGUGUACAAGCCAUGUGUCUUACCAAUGUAAUACCUGUGUGAGGAAGACAUUGGGAAACUUUUUGGUACAGAACAAUCCUUAUUUGGUUUGCAUUUUGAAAUUAAGUUCACAGACCUUACCCUAAGUGUGUAAGUAGAGCAGAAUAUCCUGACCUGCUCUUUGGAAGGCCUCCCUAAAUUCCAGCAUAUUUUGUUUUCAGUUCCAAGUAAGCCAGUGAGAGAAGAGAACUUUGCUGGUCUGCAAAGGAUACAAGAUGUAUGUAUGAAUUAAUUUAUGCUGGGUUUCUCAGGGCAAUUGGUUUCUCUCUCAAGCAGAAAAUCAGAGGUACUGUGAGUUUGUAGGACUCCUGCAUCACAGAAAGUAUUCCCUCCAGCAUUUGGGAAUUUUACAUUUUCCACAGGCUUUAUGCCUAAAGUCAGGUGGGUGCUGAACCACAGGAUGAUAUUCUAGUAAACAAACCAGCACUGGUGGCGUAAUGAAUCUCUGCUGAAUUAUUCAUUGGGUCCUGAAUGAUGCAGAGAGAGUUUUCAUAGUGAACAGCCCUGAAGAUGAGAGCAGUGCCAGGCACAGCCCUGUGCCUGUGCUGUGCACCUGGCCUGUUUUCUCAGGUAAACACCUGCAAAAAUUCAUGUCUUUACAUAAAAGGACUGGAAAAAUGUUUGGUAGCUGUCAACCAAAUUAAUCUUGAAAUUUAUGACUCAUUUGGAAUAGUCAAUCUAAUUCCAAAAAAUCCCACUUAAGUGCAGGAUCUAGUGCCAUGGACAUAACAUUGAAAGCAUGUUCAAGCACUUUGCUACAAAGAAAUGGACUUGUGCACAUUUUUAAAGGAAGCACAUCUUCAAAGAGAAGCCUCAUCCCAAAUAUGUAACACAACAGUAAAUCCAUGAGAAGUUUCCACCAGCUGUGCUGUGUUAUGCUGCAGCAUUCUGCUUUCCAGAAUGGAGAACAAGUUUUUGUCAGCUGGCCUCAGUACCCUGACACUGUGAUGGUGACUUUGCAGGAGGGAGUGGGACACACCUGGCAGCUGUGUAACAAGGAAAGUUGGAAAAUUCCAAGCUCUCAUAGGUACUAAGUUGUAUCAAAAUCGGUUUCCUACUAGGGGAAAAUUGAGGAAUUAGCUGCUCUUGUUUUUUUCAGGAGCUGCCUGUCAUCUGGCAAUGAGUUUGAGAAAGAAGCAGGGGAGCCAUAACGGGUGUAAUAUGGCACAUGGCAAGGAACUGAGAACAGAAAGUUUAAUAAACACCAUGGAAAUCUGUAGGAAAACAACUUCUGCGAGUUCUGCUGCCUGUACAGAGAUGUGGACUUUGCAGCUUCUCCUCAGUGAGAACAGAUGUUAGCUGGAGAGGUGACCAUUUUUCCAGAUUAAAAAGCAAGCUGUAGUAGUGACUUUAUCAUGGGACAGAAAAUGAGACCACGGAGCAAACAAGGGGCUGAGCUAGAAGGGGAGCCUGGAAUUAUGGCCAACCUCCCCCAAAGGCACUGCUUUGAGCUGCAGAAGGUGACUGCUGUGCCUGCUGUCACCUACACACAAAGAUACACCAGCAGCUUGUAAAUUCUGUUUAAAAUAGAGGAGUCAGUGAGCUCUACACUCACGAGCAUUACUUCAGAAACUUUACUGAAACAGUCUCCAAAGCCUGUGGGCUGUAACCAUAAGCAGUGAACAAAAUGUGCUGGUUUGACUGAAAACCUGUAAUUUGUUAGAUUAGCAGUUUGCAGAGAUAGAAUUUAGCACUAAGUGAGGGUUGCUAACUGAAAAAAAAAGAGAAAUAGAUAUUGAUUUGUCUAAUUAUAUGCAGGGUUUAUUUAAACUGGAGAUUAGUCUGCUUUAAAGAAAAGAAGUUGUAUUGAGUGAAUAUGGUGAAUAUGUACUGAGCACAUAUUGCAUUAUGUGCUCAGUGCAUUUAUUGUUGGAAGCAUGGGAUAUUGUUUAUUUGGUUUUCAAAUGUAUAAAAAUAAAUGCAUUUUUGAUACCAAAUUAUCUUAUCUUUGAAAAAGUAUAGGUGACCCCAGGUUAUGUCUGUGUUGCUAUCAAAGUAGCAUUUGACUUAAUGAAGGAGAUUUUACAUGCCCCACAGUCAUUGGUGCUUCUGAGGAGAGUGACAAGGACUUUGCUGCUUUCUCUGUGGAAAGUGUGCUGGAUCUGCAUGACAAACAGAGGGAGAUGGAGCCACAUCUUUUUGGAAGCCAUGCAGGGGUGUUUUCCUUGUGCCACUUGGUCUCCAUGAAUCCUGGGAAAUGAAGUCUGGCAAAUGACAGAUUUCUGCUGGAUUUUUUUCUCUCUAUUUUCAUUAACCUCUGAAUAGAUAUUAUUUUAAUUAAAAUAAUCUUGACAGCACCUAUGAAAAAGCUGUUCGGGUUGUAACAGCAAUUAGGUGUGUUGUCAAAGAUGAUAAGCAGCCUGGUAUCACAGGAAGGAAAUUAACACUCUGACCAAUAACGGAACAGAAAUCUUAAUCCAGUGCUUUUUGCCUCUUAGGAACUCUUCAAAAUGGAUGGAUUUUGGAGAACAGGCAGUUUUAGAACAAGGCAGUAAAGCAAUCAGUGCCAUAAAACAUCUCCAGUUUAAAAGUCAAUGUCAUACUGGUGUAAUAGUGGCUGAUGGCAAGCCAGCAAGAAAUGUGAUGUUAAUUAGACAUUAACAGUGCACAGCCUUGAUGAUUUUCCUAUAUUUUGGAUAUCAGAAUUAUUGGGAAUUGUAUUCAACAUCAGGUGAUGGAGCAUAACAGUGAUCUGUAUCAGUGCCAGGGGUCUGUUUGAGUCCUCCAUGGCAGGGUGAAGGGCUGGGAAUGCUGGCAGCCUUUCCCCGAUGUGAGGAACAUAAGGUUUGGGAGCCUUCCUUUCUAGGUUGUGUCACCACAAGUCUUUUAUUUCUUAGGAGCUGUUCUGAGCACAUAAUUCACAGGUCUUUUGGUAAAUUGCAAACGCCCUAAAUUAUAGUGUUUUGCUCAUCUUUAAAGCACCAUUCAUCCUCUAGGUGACCUGCGUCACACUGGGGCGAGCAGAAUUAAAAUCAGGCCCUCUGUGCUGGCCCAGGUAGGGAGGCACUGUCCUCUGCCCAGGAGGUGCAGGUGGAGCUGCUGUGGGUGCAAGAACUGGAUUGCUCUGCCCAGCACAAUCACAGGGGGCUGGAAAGAAAGGCUGCCCAGGAAGGAGCAAGCUGUAAAAACAGCCACAGUUUUACUAUGUGAGAGGAUGGCAGGGGAUUUAACUAAAGGCUGGAGUCAGAUGGAAUCUUGGAAGAAGAGGACUGGGAAUAGUUCAUCUGUAGGUUCCAGAGCAGAUAUGAGCAGGCUUGUAGGGCAUGGAAUGGAUGAAGCUGUGCUUAUUCAUAAAGUCUGAGGUAAAAAUGAGGCUGAAGAAGGUUUGUGGUUUCCUGGGUACCCCUUUGGCUCUUCCUGAGGUAGAUGCUUCUCUACACGUCACCAGUGAAGGAUUUCCAGGUAUCCCAUAGAAAAGGAGUAAAUGGAGACACUCAGCUCCUAUGCCAACAAGAAAAGGGCUGACAAGUUUAAUAGAGACAAUUCUGCCUUGUCCUUAUCCUGCCUUCCCAGAUGCAAUCCAAGCAGAACUGUUCCUUGGAAUUUUGGGCUCAUUUUGCCCUUCUUCUUUACCCCUGUGCUCCAGCUUGUGCUCCUCUCCUUCACAUUUUCUUGUCCCACUCUCAGCAAACAUGAGAAUUCAAGCAUGUCAUGCUCCUGGUUACAAAAACCAGCGCUGUAAUGUGCCUGAGAUGUUUCAGAGGGAAGCACUUCCUUGUCCUGCUGAAGCUUUAGUAGCCCACUGUCAUUUCUAGUAAUGUGUGGGUAGCAAUCUACAAUGUGCACCCAUCCACACAGGGUUUUCUUUAAACUCCCUUUUUCAUCCCUAAAACGAAAACAAAUCUCUGCAGUUGGUGGAAAGCAUCUCUCUGCAUCUCAGAAGAGCUGUGAUUUGAGGAAGAAGAUAAUUUGCAAGCUAUUAAAGAAAGAACUUAUUUCUUGUUUGCUUUGCAGUGUGAGAAGAUUGGAUCCUGCUACUCCAGAGGCUAAUUCAAAAUGUAGUGUGAGAACUUUCCUACCCCAAGGACAUUUCCACUCUAAGGGGAACGUAAAAAAUCCAAGAAAAAAGCAACAUCUUGCAGCUCUCUCAUGUCUUCGAGUGCAUGUGGAUGAAGGCUUUGACCUGAGGGAUGAUGGCAGCCAGCACCAGCUCACUUUUUGGACUAAAUCAGGAGGGAGAUUUCUACAGCUUGAGGAGCAGUGUGGAAGGCAGCCCAGCAGGCUGCAGGGGAUGGGGAUGCCCUAAGAGUGAGGCUGGGCAGGUCCUGGUGACAGGGACUGAGAGCUGCAAAGAGGAGUAAAAAUCAGUGUAUAAUGGGAACGGGCAGCCAUGGAGCACAUCAGGGGAGGAUGGAUGAGAGCAGAAUAGCAGCCACUGUGAGAAGCACAAUGAAAGUUGGGAGCAGAGGAAGUUGGAGCAGAGAGGAGAAGGCAGCAAGGACAAAAUUUCAUCCUCUUCAAUGAUGACAGAGUUUUGGGGAAUUGAACUAAAAGCUUCCCUUCUGAGGGAAGUCUCAGAUCUGAAGAGCUCCACAGAGCAGUAAUGAUGUACACUGAGUUUCAGAGUCAGCUUCCAGUCUGAAUGUACAGGGGAAAUGGCCAUACUUUCUUACUGAUAGUAUAGGAGCAAAAAUUAAAUGCAAUAGAAGCCAA